Molecule: long non-coding RNA, 2642 nt
Filed under: Musa acuminata (dwarf banana)
Lineage: Eukaryota; Viridiplantae; Streptophyta; Magnoliopsida; Zingiberales; Musaceae
Description: long non-coding RNA (MACU_LNC004426)
Source: RNAcentral
UUCGGAGCACGAAAGAGGAGCACAACAGUUCACAUACUGUUUUUAAGGAUCCUACUAACCAUAACAUGGAACAACAAAUUUUACAAAGUACAGCUUCAUGGGCACCUGAAAGGAGGAAAAGCAGAAUUCAGCCAAUUGGGUAUAAAUGUGCUACCCAUUUCAUCAUCUAUAACGAGUUUGGAAAUUUUAUAUACCACUGCUGCAGCUUGAAACAAAUCUGGUCAUACAACACACAAAGAUUCAGAUGAAAAAAUACAUACUCAAGUAUGAAUAAUAGUUUAAAAAGAAACAUAGAUUUGCCACUGGAUAUACAGUUGAACAAAACCUGUCGCAGACAAAUUAUCCUCAUUUUAGUUCAUAUGAGAAAGUGGAGCAGUCUAAUUAAACAUGGCUUCUGCCAGGCUGCCACUGCCAAUAACAGUUAGCAGUUCAUAUCUGUUCCGAUGGUAAGUGGCGACAACGGCAGUAGUUGACCCGUCCAUGCAAUGUGUGUGUGCAAGUCAACUAGAAGGAAGCAACGUUUUCCAACAUAUUUUCCAGAGACAGUUUCACUUGGGGAGGAACGAGAAGAUGGCAUACCGCCUUCCAACUAAGCCAUUUACCCUCCUCUUUAGAAGGGUGACCCUUAAGAAACCUGUAAGCACUGCUGGUAGUAAUUUCUCCUCUAGGUCACGGUCCAUAUCCACCUAUUAUAGGGUAGCAAUUGAUAUCUGUUAAUGAAUUGCUAAAUGAAUCAUUUUGUGUGCAUCUAGAAGUACAUGAGAGCGAGAACUAUCUUCUAACUCAGGUUGGACAUUGCUCAUAAUGUUCAUAAUUAAAAGGUUUUGCUGAUUAUGCUUAAUAAGACCAAAGAAUUGCAGCAUAAAAAAUUGCUAAAAUCCUAUAAAUAAGGGACUCUACGUUCUCACUUAAAGAACUUGCUGCAAGACUAGUAAAAGCACAAUGCAGAAAUUUUCAGAAAGAUAUUGUCAAUCAUGUAUCAUGAAAUAGCAUGGAUGUCUUAGAAUAUUGUCAUGCUAAUUUUAAUGACAACCAGAGUAAAGUUACAGCAGUGCACUAAUAAUUCCAAGAACAGCACACAGUGGUGGUACCAAUUACCCAACCAAACUUCUAUGUUUUUUAAGUUAAAUCUCCUAGUUACUAUUUUAAAUUUUAUAUAAUUAUAUUCAAUACUUACUCCAUUCACCUCUCUUUGGCCAAAUCUCCCCUCGGUUAAAACAAAAAAAAAGAGGCCACAAGAUAAACUAAUAAUUACACUUGGAUCUACAAAUGAUAAUAGUUAGCCACCUUUCAUGUGCUUUUCACUGUUUGCACUGCAACUUCAUUCCUUUAAUCUUUUGUUAUGCUUAUUUCCAAUAACUCAAUAUGUUGCAGAAGGUGCCUUCUAUGUACUUUUCACUGUUUGCACCACAACUUUAUUUCUUUUAUCUUCUUUAUUCUUUCUUCAACUACUUGUUGCCAAAAAUCCUUAAUAUGUUACAGAAGGUGCUGGUGUCUUUUUCCUACUAUUUGUUCCUUCAUCUCUGAGAAAGAGAGCCAAAAAGCUAUAUUAACUUAUGUAGUAAUGUCUAGAACUAUAAAUCUCAUGCAAUUGCAACAGCUAAAUUAUGUUACCUGAACAACAAAGGGAUGUGCUUGGUCAUUAGAAAAUUAAGGCAGUGCGCAAGUAGAAUCUUGCCAGAACUUUCAUUAAGGUUUACCACAAUCCACUCCCCAUUGGCUCUAAAACACAUCAUAAUCAAUCAGUAAUUGUGUAUUGAUCCUACUGUGUAUCAAAACUUUACCUCAACCGCUAUAAAUGUUUGGCUAUUAACUACUAUAAACUGUAGUCUAUUAACCUCAAACAGCAUAAUGUUUAAUAAAGCUCAAAACAGUGUUUCUGUCCAAGAUUAUAGUAGUUUCGCAACUCUCUUAUAAGUUAUAAAAGUCCAUAAAUAGAAUUCCAUGUACCAAACAACAUCAUCCUUCAAGCUCUAAAAUGUUCUUUCCAUGCAAAUAAGAAGUAUUCCCUUUCUCUAUGAUUUAAGUAUAGUAUCAAACUAGAUAUAAGCAUAGUAUCAAACUAGAUACAAAACGAGCAACUCCUUACUUCAAAGAAGUCAGCUUAUUUGAUUGUGGAAUCUCUUUGUUGGCAAAUCAUGACAAUGGCAACAGUGAUAAAAAAAAAAUCUUAGCCUACAAACAAAUCUGCUCAAACAAAGCUGCAAGUAUCUUUAUCCAAGCAUAGGGCAUCACUGUCAGAAGUAUGCUAACUGAAAGGAGAAGAAUGAAAAGAACAGAAUGAGCUAGUCUUGAUAAAAAGCAAAUGUCUCACCAGAAGAUGAAAAAAAGGCAAUAAGAAACCAUAAGCUACUAUGUACUAAGUGUGAUAUCGCCAACUUCUUACUAAACGAACACAUCAAAUAAUAUAUAAGGGUUCAUUAUGAAAAAUCCGGACAUCAAAUGCAUCCCAAACAAAAGUUGAACUCAAAUGCAUUCUAUUAAAGCAAAAAUAUUGUUGUCUAUAUAAUAUAUAGCUUGCGGAAUACUCAUUAGGCAUCCUUCAACUCCUUUGUCGCCUUUUCUUCUUUAUCUUUUUGAUAACAUGCUUUAUGAAAGAUUUGUUAUCCCAACUGGACUUGACAAGCCUUUGGUACCGACGU